GGUUAAGCGACUAAGCGUACACGGUGGAUGCCCUGGCAGUCAGAGGCGAUGAAGGACGUGCUAAUCUGCGAAAAGCGUCGGUAAGGUGAUAUGAACCGUUACAGCCGGCGAUGUCCGAAUGGGGAAACCCAGUGCAAUUCGUUGCACUAUCGUUAACUGAAUACAUAGGUUAACGAGGCGAACCGGGGGAACUGAAACAUCUAAGUACCCCGAGGAAAAGAAAUCAACCGAGAUUCCCCCAGUAGCGGCGAGCGAACGGGGAGCAGCCCAGAGUCUGAAUCAGCUUGUGUGUUAGUGGAACGGUCUGGAAAGUCCGACGGUACAGGGUGAUAGUCCCGUACACCAAAAUGCACAGGCUGUGAACUCGAAGAGUAGGGCGGGACACGUGGUAUCCUGUCUGAAUAUGGGGGGACCAUCCUCCAAGGCUAAAUACUCCUGACUGACCGAUAGUGAACCAGUACCGUGAGGGAAAGGCGAAAAGAACCCCGGCGAGGGGAGUGAAAAAGAACCUGAAACCGUGUACGUACAAGCAGUGGGAGCACCUUCGGGUGUGACUGCGUACCUUUUGUAUAAUGGGUCAGCGACUUAUAUUCUGUAGCAAGGUUAACCGUAUAGGGGAGCCGCAGGGAAACCGAGUCUUAACUGGGCGUUAAGUUGCAGGGUAUAGACCCGAAACCCGGUGAUCUAGCCAUGGGCAGGUUGAAGGUUGGGUAACACUAACUGGAGGACCGAACCGACUAAUGUUGAAAAAUUAGCGGAUGACUUGUGGCUGGGGGUGAAAGGCCAAUCAAACCGGGAGAUAGCUGGUUCUCCCCGAAAGCUAUUUAGGUAGCGCCUCGUGAACUCAUCUUCGGGGGUAGAGCACUGUUUCGGCUAGGGGGUCAUCCCGACUUACCAACCCGAUGCAAACUACGAAUACCGAAGAAUGUUAUCACGGGAGACACACGGCGGGUGCUAACGUCCGUCGUGAAGAGGGAAACAACCCAGACCGCCAGCUAAGGUCCCAAAGUCAUGGUUAAGUGGGAAACGAUGUGGGAAGGCACAGACAGCCAGGAUGUUGGCUUAGAAGCAGCCAUCAUUUAAAGAAAGCGUAAUAGCUCACUGGUCGAGUCGGCCUGCGCGGAAGAUGUAACGGGGCUAAACCAUGCACCGAAGCUGCGGCAGCGACACUAUGUGUUGUUGGGUAGGGGAGCGUUCUGUAAGCCUGCGAAGGUGACCUGUGAGGGUUGCUGGAGGUAUCAGAAGUGCGAAUGCUGACAUAAGUAACGAUAAAGCGGGUGAAAAGCCCGCUCGCCGGAAGACCAAGGGUUCCUGUCCAACGUUAAUCGGGGCAGGGUGAGUCGACCCCUAAGGCGAGGCCGAAAGGCGUAGUCGAUGGGAAACAGGUUAAUAUUCCUGUACUUGGUGUUACUGCGAAGGGGGGACGGAGAAGGCUAUGUUAGCCGGGCGACGGUUGUCCCGGUUUAAGCAUGUAGGCUGGUUAUCCAGGCAAAUCCGGAUAAUCAAGGCUGAGGUGUGAUGACGAGGUACUACGGUGCUGAAGUAACAAAUGCCCUGCUUCCAGGAAAAGCCUCUAAGCAUCAGGUAACAUCAAAUCGUACCCCAAACCGACACAGGUGGUCAGGUAGAGAAUACCAAGGCGCUUGAGAGAACUCGGGUGAAGGAACUAGGCAAAAUGGUGCCGUAACUUCGGGAGAAGGCACGCUGGUGUGUAGGUGAAGUCCCUGCGGAUGGAGCUGAGACCAGUCGAAGAUACCAGCUGGCUGCAACUGUUUAUUAAAAACACAGCACUGUGCAAACACGAAAGUGGACGUAUACGGUGUGACGCCUGCCCGGUGCCGGAAGGUUAAUUGAUGGGGUUAUCCGUAAGGAGAAGCUCUUGAUCGAAGCCCCGGUAAACGGCGGCCGUAACUAUAACGGUCCUAAGGUAGCGAAAUUCCUUGUCGGGUAAGUUCCGACCUGCACGAAUGGCGUAAUGAUGGCCAGGCUGUCUCCACCCGAGACUCAGUGAAAUUGAACUCGCUGUGAAGAUGCAGUGUACCCGCGGCAAGACGGAAAGACCCCGUGAACCUUUACUAUAGCUUGACACUGAACAUUGAGCCUUGAUGUGUAGGAUAGGUGGGAGGCUUUGAAGCGUGGACGCCAGUCUGCGUGGAGCCAACCUUGAAAUACCACCCUUUAAUGUUUGAUGUUCUAACGUGGGCCCCUGACCGGGGUUGCGGACAGUGUCUGGUGGGUAGUUUGACUGGGGCGGUCUCCUCCCAAAGCGUAACGGAGGAGCACGAAGGUUAGCUAAUCCUGGUCGGACAUCAGGAGGUUAGUGCAAUGGCAUAAGCUAGCUUGACUGCGAGCGUGACGGCGCGAGCAGGUGCGAAAGCAGGUCAUAGUGAUCCGGUGGUUCUGAAUGGAAGGGCCAUCGCUCAACGGAUAAAAGGUACUCCGGGGAUAACAGGCUGAUACCGCCCAAGAGUUCAUAUCGACGGCGGUGUUUGGCACCUCGAUGUCGGCUCAUCACAUCCUGGGGCUGAAGUAGGUCCCAAGGGUAUGGCUGUUCGCCAUUUAAAGUGGUACGCGAGCUGGGUUUAGAACGUCGUGAGACAGUUCGGUCCCUAUCUGCCGUGGGCGCUGGAGAAUUGAGGGGGGCUGCUCCUAGUACGAGAGGACCGGAGUGGACGCAUCACUGGUGUUCGGGUUGUCAUGCCAAUGGCACUGCCCGGUAGCUAAAUGCGGAAGAGAUAAGUGCUGAAAGCAUCUAAGCACGAAACUUGCCCCGAGAUGAGUUCUCCCUGAGACUUUAAGUCUCCUGAAGGAACGUUGAAGACGACGACGUUGAUAGGCCGGGUGUGUAAGCGCAGCGAUGCGUUGAGCUAACCGGUACUAAUGAACCGUGAGGCUUAACCUU
RNAcentral lists this ribosomal RNA (2902 nucleotides) under Klebsiella quasipneumoniae. RNAcentral describes it as "23S ribosomal RNA". It matches the Rfam family "Bacterial large subunit ribosomal RNA". The record is from RNAcentral. Lineage: Bacteria; Pseudomonadati; Pseudomonadota; Gammaproteobacteria; Enterobacterales; Enterobacteriaceae.